RNAcentral lists this long non-coding RNA (3438 nucleotides) under Olea europaea subsp. europaea. Lineage: Eukaryota; Viridiplantae; Streptophyta; Magnoliopsida; Lamiales; Oleaceae. The record is from RNAcentral.
GCGUACCUUUCAACGUACCUCGUCGUGUGUCAACAUCUACAUAAUUGAUGAUUUUUGGGUUUUGGCAGUAAUAAGUAUAUUUCAAACCAAAUCUCCCAGUUCUCAGCAAUUCUUCAAUUCAACGGUGUAAUUUCUCUUUUAGAGUGAGAAAUACACCUACCCAAAUUCACUUUUUUCUCACAUUUUUUUUAAUUUUUAUUUUUAUAUACACACACAGUAAUCCCAUUGAUCUCUGUCCGGGCGUUGAAUUGGCAGCACAUACUUGCCCAAUUAAAAUUUUUGUUCAAUCACUUCGCGGCCUAAUUUUGCUUCCGCCAUUGACGAUUUAGUUGCACUUUCUUUUUGGAAAUUUCGCGAAUUAUUGACUGAAUCGUGGUUUUGAGGAACUAAUUGGUUCAGAACUGUUGGAAACUUUUGGGCGAUAUUGAUUUGAUUGCAAUUAAAUUUUGAUGAGUUUUUUAGGCUGGUGUUGAAGAGUGGAGGUCAGAAAAUGAGCACUGUUAGACAAUCGGUUAGCGUCCGUGACCUCGUGGAGGAAGCUAAGAAGAGAAGUGUGUUUUUUAUCAUAUGCGUUGUUGGACUGUCCUACCUCAUGUCCUGUAAGUGAUUCAUUGUUUGUCCAAUAUUUGUUGUUUUAUUGCUACUUUCAAUGGAGAUUAUAAUUCUGCUAUAGCCUUUUUUCUUUUUAAAUUAGAAGAUAAUUUGCAUUUGAAUAAUACUAUGCAUUGAGGAGAUUUCGCAUCCGUUUUCCCUGUUCCUAGCGAUUGAAGCAUUAGGAUGUUAAAGAUUGCUGAGUUUAUGGAGCUGUUUAUUGCACCAUCUUAAAACUUCGCCUACAGUUAGGAAUGUUGUGUGUUUUCCUUCAUUUACCAUUCCUUUCCUCAAUGAAGUAAGCAUUAGGUUUUGGUAAGGUCGGAUCUAGAUUUGUUGUGUUGUAUGCAACUGCGUUUGCAAGUGGUAAAUCUAGCUUAACAUUUUUCUAUUCAGUAUAUUAAGGAUGUUAUGAAGAUUUUGAAUUACAAGUAUAUAAUUGUUUUUUUCCUGUUUGAAACGUGAAAAAGUUAAAAAUCCUGAAGUAACAAGGGUGAUGCUAUCCAAUACAAGAGGUUUGUAGAGGGAGUAAACCAAAAUUAGCGUACCGAAUGUGAUUGUGAGACUGCAUGGAUCUUCCAUUAAAUUUAGGAUAGACUCAACAGAAUGGAGAAAGCAAUUCAUACAACUGACCCAAAUUGGGAAUAAAUAUUAGUUAUAACCAAAAUGAGAAAAAUAUGAGAAAGCAAAUGGAGAGCUUUUAUACUACAUCUUUUUGCAUUGGACCUGCUGCUUGGAGAACUUUUAGGGUAAUUUGAAAUAGGGAAUGCGUCAUUUAUGGUGACAAGAAAAAAUUGAGAUCCAAGAAUUUCACACCAUCCUGAUUUAGAUUCUUAUUUUUGGAAGAAACUUACAUUUUUCUCUUCUGUGUUUCGUUGUAAAAUUCAGAGUUAUAUUCAUUUCAUUUUAAUCAAUGUGAAUAGGCAUAACAGACCAAUCAACAAUUGUGAACCAUUCCAGAACUCUUUUACGUACUUGAACUUUAGCAUUUUAUUGUUAUUCAACUCGUUAUUUUUUUAUUUUAUCGAAGUGCCAACCCACAUGAUCAUCUUCGUCUUUAACUGCACUGAUGAAUGUUACCUAAAAUGUGCUUAAAGCUGGUUAACUAGAAUUACAUUUGUGUAACUCAUAUUUUCUUUCAGUUCUUGUUAUGCUGUAUGAGAUGUUGUAAUGUCCCAUUUUAUUCAACACACUUUUGCUUCAUUCUUUAAAGAAGGCAAGUUAAGGAAUUAGUCUGUUGCUAUGAGCAUUUUGUGGACUUCAUAUUUGACAGUUGUAGUACUUGAUUCUAGAGACUUGAUUUACCCUUGUUUAAUUUGCCUAUUCUUCCUAGAAGACCAUUUUACAAGCUAGUCAAAUUGUAAUUUGCCUAUUCUUCCUUGAUUCAGUUGCUGGUGUUUUAUGUCUAAAAAUCCACAAGUAGAUUCACCGUUAUGGCAGCUGCUACACAUGGGCCAAGUCGUUGUCGUCCCCUUUGUCAAUAGACUCAAUACUAUAUAUUCCUCCCUUUUCUGUCUUUUUAUUCAGAAACAUGUUGGGCCCAACUUAUUUAUGAACAAUUUCCAUAUAUAAUCUCUAGAGUAUCACACAUUUUCGAUGUUUCACCCAACUCCAUGCUGUACACAAAAUUAGCAGAAAGAAUUCUAAUUGGGAUCCUGACCUGAAAUUGUAAGUCAACGAAAGGUUGAAAUUUCAUGCGCUUGGAUCAAAACAUAUAAAAUUUAUCUUGGAGAAGUUUCUAUAACUAGCAAGUAGUUCCUCUUACUAAUUUUAUCGCUUGAUUUUACUGAUUAGCAAUAUUAGUAACAUCCAAUUUGCAUGGAUUGCACUUUCUGUCAUUCGCGAACCUCCUCUCCAUAAACCUCUCUCCCACUCAAAAGAAGGAAGAAAAAAUUAAGCAUUACAGAACUCACCCUAAACUUUUUAUUUUUUCAUCUUGAAGGAAGCAUUAUGCUUUCAGGAGCCUCUCCUCAUUUCUGAAAAAGGUUUCUCCUUUAGCUCUAAUGUCGACAUGGAUCCUUAAAUUAGUGGAUAAUUCAGGUGACAUGGAGACAUUUGAAAUCUUGUAUAUAUACCUACUUCUUUUUGUCCUAGUUUUCCUUGACAAAUAACUUUUUUUUUUGGCACAUCUCUAGCUCCAGUCUGCAGGAUUGUGUAAUCUUCUUUUUACUCUGUGUGAUGAAAAACAUGUGACAGCAAUGUAUCUAACUAGUGUGCAGUGAUGAAGGGAAGGCAGAAGGCAUGCUUUGUUAAAUAUAUCUUUUGAAGGUUUGACACAAUUCUUUAGGGGUGUUUACAUAUGAAGAUGGUAAUCUGACAGCAAUGCUCCCAAGUUAUGAGACCUUGCUUUGUCAGGAGUACUGCAGUGGGUUUUAUUUUAUUUUUUUUAUUAUUUAUCUAAAAGAGCUUACGUGGAAACUUGAAGUUUUAAUGCUUAUCCAUCCGAAGGUUUUAUACCUUUAUAUUGACCAAGAAAAGCUGAUGUAGGAAUUCUACUAGAAUUCAAUUAUUACAUCUAGUUUACGAUUUAAUUACACUUGGUAAUUUGGAUUCCUAGUAUUUAUAGGUUUCAAUUAGUUUUUAUUAUUUAGCCAAUAGGAUUUCUACUUCUAUCAGAAAUAGGUUAUUUGUUUUUUUUUUCCUUUUUAGGAGAUUUAUUUAUUUUUACUUAGUCUACUAUAAUUAAGAUAUUACGUCUUCUUCCAAUAUAAUCACAACUCAUAUUCAUUAUAUUUAUUCUAGAUAAUAUUCUUAAACUUUUUAUUGUUUUUACAAGAUUUAACAUCCGCUGCUGCACAAAAUUGGUAUCAAAGCUUAUCUGAGCUGAUGACUGAGGAUGGUACUUGU